CUUCUUACCUAGCCAGGGAGACAUCAUGAUCGUGUUGGUGGUAUCCCCAGGGGAAGGUUCACCCAUUGCAUUUGGGGUGUGCUGACCCCUGAGAUUUCCCCAAACUCGGGAAACUGGGAUGAAAAAUGUGUGGUUCAAUCUCUUUCCUAGUGGAAAAGUUAAA
Small nuclear RNA from Cricetulus griseus (Chinese hamster), 163 nucleotides. Its record names the gene U1. It matches the Rfam family "U1 spliceosomal RNA". Rfam says of the family: U1 is a small nuclear RNA (snRNA) component of the spliceosome (involved in pre-mRNA splicing). Its 5' end forms complementary base pairs with the 5' splice junction, thus defining the 5' donor site of an intron. There are significant differences in sequence and secondary structure between metazoan and yeast U1 snRNAs, the latter being much longer (568 nucleotides as compared to 164 nucleotides in human). The record is from Ensembl. NCBI's taxonomy places the organism in Eukaryota, Metazoa, Chordata, Mammalia, Rodentia, Cricetidae.